This 680-nucleotide ribosomal RNA is filed under the name uncultured archaeon. Its description in RNAcentral is "bacterial SSU rRNA". It matches the Rfam family "Archaeal small subunit ribosomal RNA", at positions 156 to 844 of the family's 1478-position model. The record is from RNAcentral.
AAAAUAGAUACUGGAAGGUUCUAUUUUCAAAAGUUCCGAUGCCUGAGGAUAGGACUGCGGUGGAUUAGGCUGUUGUGGGUAUAAAGGACCCACAAACCUAUAAUCCAUGCGGGCGUUGAGAGACGGAGCCCGGAGAUGCGUUCUGAGACAAGAAUGCAGGUCCUACGGGACGCAGCAGUCGCGAAAACUUUACAAUACCUGAAAGGGUGAUAAGGGAAUCCUGAGUGCUCCAGCAUUGCUGGAGCUUUUCUAGAGUGUAAAAAGCUUUGGGAAUAAGUGGUGGGUAAGACGGGUGCCAGCCGCCGCGGUAAUACCCGCGCCACGAGUGGUAAUCACGGUUAUUGGGUCUAGAGCGUUCGUAGCCGGCUUAGAAAAUUCUUGGUGAAAUUUCAUGUAAAACAUGGAAAGUGCCAGGAACACUUCUGGGCUAGGAACCGGGAAAGGCUAGGGGUACUCCGAGGGUAAGGGUUAAAUCUUGUAAUCCUUGGAGGACCACCUGUGGCGAAGGCGCCUAGCUGGAACGGCUUCGACGGUGAGGGACGAAAGCCUGGGUCGCAAACGGGAUUAGAUACCCCGGUAGUCCAGGCUGUAAACGAUGCCCGCUUGAUGUAUCGCUCCUUUCGAAGGGCCGAUGUGUCGUAGCGUAGGUGUUAAGCGGGCCACCUGGGGAGUACGGUCGC